This 4215-nucleotide long non-coding RNA is filed under the name Brassica napus (rape). Its description in RNAcentral is "long non-coding RNA (BNAP_LNC022552)". Lineage: Eukaryota; Viridiplantae; Streptophyta; Magnoliopsida; Brassicales; Brassicaceae. The record is from RNAcentral.
GAUAAGCAUAAGAAAAGCAAAUCGAAGAGAAGAGAAACAACGCAACAAUUGGAAAAAAAAAUGGCGUCUAAGGCUAUCUUCUCCACAAUCCGCCGAUCUCUAACGAAACCACGCGGCGGCGCAGUUUCCCGAGGCCACCACUUGUCCACCUCCGCCGCGACGGCGUCCGAAUCCUACGCAGGCGACGAACACGCGAUCGUGAUGAAAGGAGUUCGAAUCUCAGGCAGGCCUCUCUACCUCGAUAUGCAGUCGACGACCCCGCUCGACCCCAGAGUCUUCGACGCGAUGAACGCCUCUUCCAUCUACGACUACGGGAACCCGCACUCGCGCACGCAUCUCUACGGCUGGGAAGCGGAGAACGCCGUCGAGGUGGCUCGAAUCCAGGUCGCGAAGCUCAUCGGCGCCUCGCCGAAGGAGAUCGUGUUCUUGUCCGGCGCCACGGAGGCGAACAACACGGUGGUGAAGGGCGUGAUGCACUUCUACAAGGACAAGAAGAGGCACGUGAUCACCACGCAGACUGAGCACAAGUGCGUUCUCGACUCGUGCAGGCAUUUGCAGCAGGAAGGCUUCGAGGUAACGUACUUGCCGGUUAAAACCGACGGUUUAGUUGAUUUAGAGAUGCUGAGAGAUUCUAUUAGACCGGAUACCGGUUUAGUUUCGGUUAUGGCUGUGAACAAUGAGAUUGGCGUGGUGCAACCUAUGGAGGAGAUUGGUAGGAUUUGCAAGGAGCAUAAGAUCCCGUUUCAUACCGAUGCUGCUCAAGCUAUAGGGAAGAUACCUGUUGAUGUUGAGAAGUGGAACGUUAGUUUCAUGUCGAUGAGUGGGCACAAGAUCUACGGACCGAAAGGUGUUGGUGCUAUGUACGUUAGAAGGAGGCCGAGGGUGAGGCUCGAGCCGUUGAUGAACGGUCCGGUGAGUUGCCGCCGUAUCUAUGCUAUGGGAAGAAACUUGAAAAGCUAAUUAGUUUCAGUAAUCAGUUAAGCGGCGAGAUCCCGGAAACUUACGGUGAGUGCGACUCGCUUAAUUAUAUUAGAAUGGCGGAUAACAAACUCUCCGGCGAAGUUCCGGUUAGGUUUUCGGAGCUUCCUCUUACUCGUCUCGAGCUAUCCAACAACCGAUUACAAGGUUCGAUUCCUCCGUCGAUAUCCAAAGCUCGUCAGCUCUCUCAGCUCGAAAUCUCCGGAAACAAGUUCUCCGGUGCGAUUCCGGUGAGAAUCUGUGAUCUCGGAGGACUCAGGGUCGUCGAUCUCAGCCGUAACCGUUUCUCAGGAUCUAUCCCGUCUUGCAUUAACAGAUUGAAGAAUCUGGAGAGAUUGGAGAUGCAGGAGAACAUGCUCGACGGCGAGAUCCCGAGUUCGGUGAGUUCAUGCGCCAAGUUAACCGAGUUGAAUCUCUCCGAUAACCGCCUCCGCGGCGGAAUCCCACCGGAGCUCGGGGAAUUACCGGUUUUGAACUAUCUGGAUCUCUCCAACAACCAACUCACCGGCGAGGUUCCGGCGGAGUUGUUGAAGCUGAAGCUUAAUCAGUUCAACGUCUCCGAUAACAAACUCUCCGGCAAGAUCCCUUCUGGUUUUCAACAAGAUAUUUUUCUACCGAGUUUUUUGGGUAACCCGGAUCUCUGCGCCCCGGAUAUGGAUCCGAUUCGACCUUGCCGAUCCAAACCCGAGCCCCGGUUUAUCCUUUUUAUCUCCGUCGUCUGCAUCGUUGCACUAAUCGGAGCUUUGGUUUGGCUUUUUAUCAAAACCAAACCGUUAUUCCAGAGAAAACCGAACCGGACCGAUAAAGUAACCAUUUUCCAGCGGAUCGGGUUCACAGAGGAAGACAUAUACCCGCAAUUAACAGAAGAUAACAUAAUCGGGUCGGGCGGGUCGGGUUUGGUUUACAGAGUGACACUCAAAUCAGGCCAAACGCUCGCGGUGAAGAAACUUUGGGGUGGACCGGGUCAUAAACCCGAAUCCGAAUCCGUUUUCAGAUCCGAGGUAGAGAUUCUGGGUCGGGUCAGACAUGGUAACAUAGUGAAGCUUCUCAUGUGCUGCAGCGGCGAAGAGUUUCGGUUUCUAGUGUACGAGCAUAUGGAAAACGGCAGCUUGGGCGACGUUUUGCAUUCAGAGAAAGAACAUCGCGCCGUUUCUCCGCUGGAUUGGACGACAAGGUUUUCGAUCGCGCUUGGUGCAGCUCAAGGACUUGCUUAUCUACAUCAUGACUCUGUUCCGGCGAUUGUUCACCGUGACGUCAAAAGCAAUAAUAUAUUGUUGGACCAUGAGAUGAAGCCACGUGUUGCUGAUUUCGGUUUGGCUAAACCGUUGAAAAGAGAAGACAAUAAUGGUGUCUUUGAUGUUUCUCCUAUGUCUUGUGUUGCUGGAUCCUACGGCUACAUUGCUCCAGGUUCGAAUUCUAAAUGCUAAACCGAAAUAACAAAUAUUUUUUACUGUUAUUUUUUAUUCUGUUGUUGUGAUUGCACAUGCAGAAUAUGGUUAUACGUCGAGAGUGAAUGAGAAGAGCGAUGUGUAUAGUUUCGGUGUCGUGUUACUCGAAUUGAUUACGGGUAAAAGGCCAAAUGAUUCUUCGUUUGGGGAGAAUAAAGACAUUGUUAAGUUUGCAAUGGAGUCAGCUUUGUCUUACUCUUCUCCAUCACCUGAAGACAAAGCUAUGAAUCAAGAUUCACUUGGAAAUUUUCGAGAUCUUCGCAAGGUUGUGGAUCCAAAGAUGGAACUUUCUACGAGGGAAUAUGAAGAGGUAGAGAGAGUUCUCGAGAUUGCAUUACUUUGCACGUCUUCGUUUCCUAUUAGUAGGCCGACCAUGAGGAAAGUAGUAGAGCUGCUCAAAGAGAAGAAGCCACUUGAGUGAGACGGUGCUCGUUUCUUCAUCUGGUUUUAAUACUAAGAUUGUUACUUAAUCAUAGGUGGGCUACUGGAAAACUAAUUUUAAAAACUUAAAUAGCUAGUUAUCUUUUUUUUUGUUAAUUUAAAGAUUAAGAAGCAUGGACUAAGCUAUAAGAUUUUGCAAACUUUAAAUUUAAUAGUCUAAAAGACAAUUAUUGUUGAUGUUCUCGAUAAACCAAUAUACGAGGCAGAUAUAUGUACCAAUCCUCUUCGAAUAAACAGCGUUGGUGUAACUCAUGCUCCAAAAGCAUUUUGCAUCACCAUCAAGAGUGUUUUUGCUUCAAGAGGGAUCUAUGUUCAAGUUUAUUCCAAGACUUACAUUGAAGACAAAUGCCGAUGUUUGAAUUGUUAGUACCUUCUACUCUUGCUCGUUUUAUCUUAAAUUAAUCAAGAGUUUUAUUGACGUUAAUCUAAAGAUAUGAUAGCUUUUGUAGUCCAAUUAAUAAUCUCAUUAAAGAUUCAUGUUAAAAUUGAGUUCAAAUUUCAGAAAGACGAUUCAUUUACCCAUUAUACCACCAGUUAAAUAAGAACUUAACAUUUUUUUGGUUAUAGUAAAAAUAUAAUUUUAGACAAUUGAUCUUCAUAAAUCAGUUAAUAGAUAUACAUAUACAAUUGUAAUAUGUAAAUUUUCAUAAGACAUAUGUCAGUUGUAGAGUUCAUGAUAGCAUAAAUAAAAAUGCUAAACAUGAAUUUUUACAGUUGUCCAGUUUAGAAUGUAAUAAUAAUAAAUAUAAAUUAAUGUUGGAAACACAAAUGUUUUUCUUUUACAAACUAAAAAAACUCUUGGGCCAAAGAAUAUGGUAUUGGGCAGUAACAUCUGGCCCAUUAGAUAUCCACAAGCCUUCUUCUUUCAAUUUAGGGCUCCAGAGACGACCACGUCGCCUCUGUCACGAAACCGCCAGUGACGCUAUCGUCUUUCACAUCCGAUAAGCAUAAGAAAAGCAAAUCGAAGAGAAGAGAAACAACGCAACAAUUGGAAAAAAAAAUGGCGUCUAAGGCUAUCUUCUCCACAAUCCGCCGAUCUCUAACGAAACCACGCGGCGGCGCAGUUUCCCGAGGCCACCACUUGUCCACCUCCGCCGCGACGGCGUCCGAAUCCUACGCAGGCGACGAACACGCGAUCGUGAUGAAAGGAGUUCGAAUCUCAGGCAGGCCUCUCUACCUCGAUAUGCAGUCGACGACCCCGCUCGACCCCAGAGUCUUCGACGCGAUGAACGCCUCUUCCAUCUACGACUACGGGAACCCGCACUCGCGCACGCAUCUCUACGGCUGGGAAGCGGAGAACGCCGUCGAGGUGGCUCGAAUCCAGGUCGCGAAGCUCAUCGGCGCCUCG